Molecule: ribosomal RNA, 253 nt
Filed under: uncultured bacterium
Lineage: Bacteria
Description: partial 16S ribosomal RNA
Rfam family: Bacterial small subunit ribosomal RNA
Source: RNAcentral
UACGUAGGGUGCAAGCGUUGUCCGGAAUUAUUGGGCGUAAAGAGCUCGUAGGCGGUCUGUCGCGUCUGCUGUGAAAACUCAGGGCUUAACCCUGAGCUUGCAGUGGGUACGGGCAGACUAGAGUGCGGUAGGGGAGACUGGAAUUCCUGGUGUAGCGGUGAAAUGCGCAGAUAUCAGGAGGAACACCGGUGGCGAAGGCGGGUUUCUGGGCCGUAACUGACGCUGAGGAGCGAAAGCAUGGGGAGCGAACAGG